GCCAGGUGGAGGAGAUGAAGGAAUCCUCUGGAACAGGGCUCAGAGAUAUUCACCAUCUGAAACGCUGACCUCUGCGAUAAGCUUAAUGUUCAUACCCAGCUGAAGAAGAGGCUAGCCAGCGAGAGAGAGGAAUUCAAGUGCCCAGCUCGAAUGAGGCAGAUCUACAUGUUGCAAAACAGAACAGACAAAAACGGAUAUAUAUGGUUACAGGAAAAACAAUGG
Long non-coding RNA from Gorilla gorilla gorilla (western lowland gorilla), 222 nucleotides. RefSeq lists it as uncharacterized. NCBI's taxonomy places the organism in Eukaryota, Metazoa, Chordata, Mammalia, Primates, Hominidae. The record is from RefSeq and is a predicted model, not a curated record. The transcript is spliced from 3 exons.